UGGGGAAUUUUGGACAAUGGGGGCAACCCUGAUCCAGCAAUGCCGCGUGUGUGAAGAAGGCCUUCGGGUUGUAAAGCACUUUUGUCCGGAAAGAAAACGUCGUGGUUAAUACCCGUGGCGGCUGACGGUACCGGAAGAAUAAGCACCGGCUAACUACGUGCCAGCAGCCGCGGUAAUACGUAGGGUGCAAGCGUUAAUCGGAAUUACUGGGCGUAAAGCGUGCGCAGGCGGUCCGCUAAGACAGAUGUGAAAUCCCCGGGCUUAACCUGGGAACUGCAUUUGUGACUGGCGGGCUAGAGUAUGGCAGAGGGGGUAGAUUCCACGUGUAGCAGUGAAAUGCGUAGAGAUGUGGAGGAAUACCGAUGGCGAAGGCAGCCCCCUGGGCCAAUAC
This 391-nucleotide ribosomal RNA is filed under the name uncultured bacterium. RNAcentral's name for it is "partial 16S ribosomal RNA". It matches the Rfam family "Bacterial small subunit ribosomal RNA", at positions 355 to 740 of the family's 1533-position model. The record is from RNAcentral.